Molecule: transfer RNA, 542 nt
Filed under: unicellular cyanobacterium LLi67
Lineage: Bacteria; Bacillati; Cyanobacteriota
Description: 16S-23S ribosomal RNA intergenic spacer
Rfam family: tRNA (bases 285-357)
Source: RNAcentral
UUAGGGAGACCUAUUGAAGUCUACUGAAAGAUACAAAAAUAAGUAGAGAUUCAAUCAAUCCCAAGGUCGGACUAGGGAAAAAUUUAAGCCUUCAAACUAAUAACUGGUUCGGUUGAAAGAACAUGGGCUAUUAGCUCAGGUGGUUAGAGCGCACCCCUGAUAAGGGUGAGGUCCCUGGUUCAAGUCCAGGAUGGCCCACCUGUCAGCCAACAAGAAACAGUAAUCAGCAAUUAAGUUAAUUGAAAGCUGAAAAUUGUGGAUAUGGUAACUGGUGAAUCAAGAGAGGGGGUAUAGCUCAGUUGGUAGAGCGCCUGCUUUGCAAGCAGGAUGUCAGCGGUUCAAGUCCGCUUACCUCCACCAGAGUCAGACCGAAUCAUAAAUUAAAGGACAAAAAUCCAGCAUCUGAAGGGAAAUAAGCCAGGAAUGCUGGGCUUUGAGUCCAGUACAGCACCUUGAAAACUGCAUAGAACAUAGAGAUUACCAGCAGGUAGAAAUAGAAAACAGAAAAACUAUUUCGUGAAAGACAAGACAAGCUCCUAGCA